Microtus ochrogaster (prairie vole) is the source of this 1012-nucleotide long non-coding RNA. RefSeq lists it as uncharacterized. The record is from RefSeq and is a predicted model, not a curated record. The transcript has 2 exons. Lineage: Eukaryota; Metazoa; Chordata; Mammalia; Rodentia; Cricetidae.
UGAGAUUAAAGGUGUGUGGCAUCACCACCAGGUUUUUCACCUUGGUUUUUGAGAUGUCACUCAUUGAACUUAGAACUUGCUGCUUUGCUGAGGCUAGCCAGCCAGCAAACCCCAGGAGCCCACUGGUCUCGACCUCCCCAGCACCAGGGCUACAGACACAGGCCAGGUCACUGUGUGGGUGCUGGGACUCAAGCUCGGGUCUCCCUGCUGCCCAGCAAGCACUCUGCCAACAAACCUGUGCUCAGCCCUAUCCACUUUUCCUCCUUUCUCUUGCCCUUUGACCGCUCUCCUUCCCCUUCAUUCUUUACUCCUCUGCACUCACUCCCCCCACACUUUUUUCCCCAGCUCUCAAACCCAAGGACCUCUAAGUGAGCUGUUCCCAGCCCCCACCCUGGUGCUGUGAGGGUCCCCAGGUUCUGGGAGGGAAGUGGGCCACCAGUGGCCACCAAAGGCCAUGGCAGGAGGCUGAUUACCUGGAGAAUGGCUACCAAGCCAGAGUCCAGGGGUGGGGCAGGGUCUCUGUGACACUCGUUUCUUUUUCUAUUUGUCCUGGAUGCCGGACACUUCCUGGAGGAAUCAGACCUUGAAGGCAGGAAGCAAAGAAUCAGCUGAGAGAGCAUAGAGAGCUGCCCACAGACACAGCGUGCCAUCCGUCCUCUUCAGGCAUCAGCAAUGAAGGCCUCAGCUGACUUCAGUUUUCCUGGUGAAAACAUCGGUCUAACACCUGCAGGACACUGAAGACCAGCAGUUGUGAGGACAGAGGCUUCUUAGACUCACCUACCGGAAGGACCAACACUUCCCAGCACAGAUCAUGUGUGUGCCCGCGCGCGCGUGUGUAAAAGGACUGUCACCACCUGCUGGCACACAGUGGAACUGCAACCCAGCUGUAUCAAGCACUGAAAUUUGUCCCCAAUGAAGGACAGUUGGGGUGAGGGAAGCUGUGGAUGGAGGGAUAUGGAAAAUUCUGUUAAAAUGAACAUUUUUACUCCUAAUACAGAAACAUUCACGCCAA